GUGGGGAAUAUUCCGCAAUGGACGAAAGUCUGACGGAGCAACGCCGCGUGAGUGAUGAAGGUUUUCGGACUGUAAAGCUCUGUUGUUUAGGACGAAAGUGCCUGUUGCAAAUAGUUACAGGUAUUGACGGUACUGAACGAGGAAGCCACGGCUAACUACGUGCCAGCAGCCGCGGUAAUACGUAGGUGGCAAGCGUUGUCCGGAAUUAUUGGGCGUAAAGAGCAUGUAGGCGGAGAUUUAAGUCUGUUGUGAAAAUGCGGGGCUCAACCCCGUAUUGCGAUGGAAACUGAAUUUCUUGAGUGCAGGAGAGGAAAGGGGAAUUCCCAGUGUAGCGGUGAAAUGCGUAGAUAUUGGGAGGAACACCAGUGGCGAAGGCGCCUUUCUGGACUGUGUCUGACGCUGAGAUGCGAAAGCCAGGGGAGCGAACGGGAUUAGAAACCCUGGUAGUCC
This 450-nucleotide ribosomal RNA is filed under the name uncultured bacterium. RNAcentral describes it as "partial 16S ribosomal RNA". It matches the Rfam family "Bacterial small subunit ribosomal RNA", at positions 354 to 796 of the family's 1533-position model. The record is from RNAcentral.